GAUACCAGGGUCAAAAGGUCACGCUUUUCAUGCUUGCAUGGAAAAGCAUGACUUUGGGACCCACAAAACAUGAGAAAGUAGCCAUUUUUCAUCGAAAAAUGAGCGGAUUUCGAAUGUUUUUAGGAUUUUGGAAGCGUGAAACGCGGAAAAAUCCGUAGGUAUC
RNAcentral lists this small RNA (163 nucleotides) under uncultured Frisingicoccus sp. Its description in RNAcentral is "Clostridiales-1 RNA". It matches the Rfam family "Clostridiales-1 RNA". Lineage: Bacteria; Bacillati; Bacillota; Clostridia; Lachnospirales; Lachnospiraceae. The record is from RNAcentral.